CGAGAAUCGGUGUUGAAAGUAAAAGAGAAUAAAUAAUAGGUGACUCAAGUUGGAAUAGUAGGAAGUGCCUGUGUUUUUCGCCUCUCUUGUUCUCCUCGGAGUGGACACCAUUUUCCUCAAGGGGAGAAAAAAAGGGGAAUAGCUUUGCUCUGUCAUGCUCCUUCUAUGAUGCAUUGACUGACCACAGGCCCAAAGCAAUGGGGCUGAUGAACCAUGGACAGAAACCUCCAAAAUGAUUUUAUUUAUCUAACAAAUAUCGAGCGAAUAUUUCAUAUGCACCAGGAAUUAUUCCAACUGCUUGGGACUCAACAGUGAACAGGAGCUGAUGCACUGCUUCAGUCUGAAAUGUUCUUCCUGCUCCCAUAGAAAUCCUCUUGAUCAGUCAAGGUUCAGCCAUUCACCACACAGGGAAUACCCAGAUACACCUCAGAAGGAAUGAGUCACUUAUUUUUCUCUUGUCCUCUGCUUGAAUGUUUUUUCUGUCUUGCAUUAUGGCAGUUCUUUUCUUGCUUCCCUCCCCUUUUUAGACUCUUAGCUUCUCAAAAUGUUUUAUUUAUCUGUACGGCUCUGACAACAGCAUCUAAUAUGGUAACUGACCAUGGUAUGUGCUCAAUAAAUACUCACAG
This is a long non-coding RNA of Heterocephalus glaber (naked mole-rat), 626 nucleotides long. NCBI's taxonomy places the organism in Eukaryota, Metazoa, Chordata, Mammalia, Rodentia, Bathyergidae. The record is from Ensembl.